AUUGAACGCUGGCGGCAUGCUUUACACAUGCAAGUCGAACGGCAGCACGGGGGCAACCCUGGUGGCGAGUGGCGAACGGGUGAGUAAUGCAUCGGAACGCGUCCUGUAAUGGGGGAUAACCUACCGAAAGGUAGGCUAAUACCGCAUACGUCCUGAGGGAGAAAGCGGGGGAUCGUAAGACCUCGCGUUAUAGGAGCGGCCGAUGUCGGAUUAGCUAGUUGGUGGGGUAAAGGCCUACCAAGGCGACGAUCCGUAGCGGGUCUGAGAGGACGGCCCGCCACACUGGGACUGAGACACGGCCCAGACUCCUACGGGAGGCAGCAGUGGGGAAUUUUUGGACAAGGUGGGGACCAACCCGUGACUCCACGCCAUCGCCG
This 377-nucleotide ribosomal RNA is filed under the name uncultured bacterium. RNAcentral's name for it is "bacterial SSU rRNA". It matches the Rfam family "Bacterial small subunit ribosomal RNA", at positions 29 to 410 of the family's 1533-position model. The record is from RNAcentral.